UUGAAAUUAAGUAGUGAAGUAUGUGAGCCAUGUGCCGAGAAAAGCCGCUAUUGUUUUAUAUGUGCCCGUACCGUAAACCGACACAGGUGGAUGAGGAGAGAAUCCUAAGGCCGACGGAAGAAGCAUUGUUAAGGAAUUCGGCAAAAUGACCCCGUAACUUCGGGAGAAGGGGUGCCCACUGAAUGGUGGGCCGCAGAGAAUAGGCUCAAGCAACUGUUUAGCAAAAACACAGGUCUAUGCGAAACCGAAAGGUGAAGUAUAUGGGCUGACGCCUGCCCGGUGCUGGAAGGUUAAGAGGAGAGGUUAGCGCAAGCGAAGCUUUGAAUUUAAGCCCCAGUAAACGGCGGCCGUAACGAUAACGGUCCUAAGGUAGCGAAAUUCCUUGUCGGGUAAGUUCCGACCCGCACGAAAGGCGUAAUGAUUUGAGCACUGUCUCGACAAUGCAUCCGGUGAAAUUGAAGUACCAGUGAAGAUGCUGGUUACCCGCGCCAGGACGGAAAGACCCCAUGGAGCUUUACUCCAGUUUGAUACUGGGAUUCGGUACUGCACGUACAGGAUAGGUGGGAGACUGAGAACUAUGGACGCCAGUCUGUAGGGAGUCGCUGUUGGGAUACCACCCCUGUAGUACUGGGUUUCUAACCAUCUGCCGUGAUCCGGCAGUGGGACAAUGUCAGGCGGGGAGUUUGACUGGGGCGGUCGCCUCCGAAAGGGUAUCGGAGGCGCUCAAAGGUUCCCUCAGAAUGGUCGGAAACCAUUUGAAGAGUGCAAAGGCAGAAGGGAGCUUGACUGCGACACCGACGGGUGGAGCAGGUACGAAAGUAGGACUUAGUGAUCCGGUGGUAUAAAGUGGGAUUGCCAUCGCUCAACGGAUAAAAGCUACCCUGGGGAUAACAGGCUUAUCACUCCCAAGAGUUCACAUCGACGGAGUGGUUUGGCACCUCGAUGUCGGCUCAUCGCAUCCUGGGGCUGUAGCAGGUCCCAAGGGUUGGGCUGUUCGCCCAUUAAAGCGGUACGCGAGCUGGGUUCAGAACGUCGUGAGACAGUUCGGUCCCUAUCCGGCGCGGGCGGAGGAUAUUUGAGAGGAGCUGUCCUUAGUACGAGAGGACCGGGAUGGACGGACCACUGGUGUAUCUGUUGUCGACCAACGGCAUGGCAGAGUAGCCAAGUCUGGAAGGGAUAAACGCUGAAGGCAUCUAAGCGUGAAGCCCCCCUUAAGAUGAGAUAUCCCUCCUUCGGGAGUAAGACCCCUUGAAGACUACAAGGUAGAUAGGGCAGAGGUGGAAGUGUGGCAACACAUGGAGCUGACUGUUACUAAUAGGUCGAGGGCUUGGU
RNAcentral lists this ribosomal RNA (1332 nucleotides) under metagenome. RNAcentral's name for it is "bacterial LSU rRNA". It matches the Rfam family "Bacterial large subunit ribosomal RNA", at positions 1573 to 2925 of the family's 2925-position model. The record is from RNAcentral.